UGACUCUCAUCGGCAGCAGGGCUCCUGGAAGUCCUGCUUCUCAUUACUACUGUGGACUGGAGCCUCCCCAGAGCUCCCUGGGGUCCUUGGCCUGGGUGAAGAUGGAUGAAGAUCAGAUCCAGCAGCUGUGGGUAGAGGAGGGUCCAGGAAGCAGGCACAAAGAGAGGUAAUUCAUCCACAUGGCAAAACAGAGCAUGAUCUGGGGAAGCUGGAGGCCUCCCAAACAGGGCCUCAACUGUCAGAACAUGUAAUAAACAUAACCAGCCAGAGGACUGAGGGGAGGCAGAAGGCACACAGUUAACCACUGCAGCAGAAAGUAGCAGAAAUGAAGGUAUGCUCGCCCUGUACCUACUUUUCAUAAACCACCACUCUCUUUUUUUCUAACAAACGUUUGAAUGCUAAACACACUACUAUUGCUGAUACUUUCCAAGGGUGUAAUGUUUCUUUAAAUUGUCAUAUGGAGAGGCAGUUUAGUGUAAUAGAAAGGACAUAGGCUAUAAAGCCAAUCAAAUCCUUGUCCUGCUACUUAAUAGCUGUGUGAC
This 542-nucleotide long non-coding RNA is filed under the name Homo sapiens (human). Lineage: Eukaryota; Metazoa; Chordata; Mammalia; Primates; Hominidae. The record is from RNAcentral.